CCUACGGGUGGCAGCAGUGAGGAAUAUUGGUCAAUGGGCGCGAGCCUGAACCAGCCAAGUAGCAUGAAGGAUGACUGCCCUACGGGUUGUAAACUUCUUUUAUAAAGGAAUAAAGUGAGGCACGUGUGCCUUUUUGUAUGUACUUUAUGAAUAAGGAUCGGCUAACUCCGUGCCAGCAGCCGCGGUAAUACGGAGGGGGCAAGCGUUGUUCGGAAUUACUGGGCGUAAAGGGUGUGUAGGCGGGAAAGUAAGAUAGUGGUGAAAUGCCUGAGCUCAACGUGGGAACUGCCAUUAUAACUAUUUGUCUAGAGUGACAGAGAGGAUAUUGGAAUACCCAGGGUAGAGGUGAAAUUCGUAGAUAUUGGGUAGAACACCGGAGGCGAAGGCGAGUAUCUGGCUGUCAACUGACGCUGAGGCACGAAAGCAUGGGGAUCAAACAGGAUUAGAUACCCCUGUAGUC
This 460-nucleotide ribosomal RNA is filed under the name uncultured bacterium. RNAcentral describes it as "partial 16S ribosomal RNA". It matches the Rfam family "Bacterial small subunit ribosomal RNA", at positions 338 to 795 of the family's 1533-position model. The record is from RNAcentral.